RNAcentral lists this long non-coding RNA (411 nucleotides) under Physcomitrium patens. Its description in RNAcentral is "long non-coding RNA (PPAT_LNC002917)". Lineage: Eukaryota; Viridiplantae; Streptophyta; Bryopsida; Funariales; Funariaceae. The record is from RNAcentral.
AUUUAAUUCUAGUUAAAAUCCUAUUGAACUUCAUACAAACUUUAGGCCAAACCUAAUUAAAUCUUAAAUCCUAAUAAAAUCCUAAAUUUAAAUCAAAUCCUAAACAAACCUUAAACCAAACCCUAACCAAAUCCUAAACAAAUCCUAAACCAAAUCCUAAAUCAAACCCUAAAUCCUAAAUCAAAUCUUAAAUAAAUCCUAAUUUAAAUCCUAAACCCUAAAUCAAACCAUAAUGAAAUCCUAAUCCAAAUCCUAAAUCCUAAACCAAACCCUAAAUCAAAUCCUAAAUAAAAUCGUAAUCAAAUUCUAAACCAAAUCCUAAAUCAAACCCUAACCAAAUCUUAAACCAAACUCCAAUACAAAUCCUAAAUCCUAAAUCAAACCUUAAUCAAAUCUUAAAUCCUAAAUCAA